UUUACCGCAAAACUAAGUCAUUUAAUUAGUGGGAGAUUGCUUAUGUAUUUUCGCUGAUCGAAAGAAGCGAAAUACAUUUAUCCGACGAUUUUCUUCCAUCAUCGGCGUGAAGUCGACCAUGUGAAACAUCGAGGCAUAACCAAAGAUUUGGAGCGGAAAACGAAUUGCAUGAAUAUUAUCGGCCAAUAAGAACAAAUGAGCUCCAUCGAAGAUAUUCUAGUGCAUUAAGUUUGAAGGUGAGGUCGGCCGAAUAGAAGCUAGGCUUUAGUUUAAAAAAAGAACAACCGCGUGUGUUUUUUCAUUCAUUUGUUUUCUGGGCAACGACAACUUUAUAAAAAUUAGCGAGCUAGCAAAAAAUAUUGAAAUGUUCCGGUGCCGACGACUGAAUUAAAAACCUAAUGUUUCUGUGAACAGUACAGUGUAUUUGUUGACAUGUACGUUGCCGCUUAUUCAAAACUAUUUCAACCUAU
Contarinia nasturtii (swede midge) is the source of this 470-nucleotide long non-coding RNA. RefSeq lists it as uncharacterized. Lineage: Eukaryota; Metazoa; Arthropoda; Insecta; Diptera; Cecidomyiidae. The transcript is spliced from 3 exons. The record is from RefSeq and is a predicted model, not a curated record.